RNAcentral lists this non-coding RNA (332 nucleotides) under uncultured Dinobryon. The record is from RNAcentral. Lineage: Eukaryota; Chrysophyceae; Chromulinales.
AAAAGAAAAGAAAGAAAGAAAGAAAGAAAGAAAAACGAAAUGCCGAAACCCAUGCCGAAAGUUCAAACUCUUCCAGUGGUUUGGUGAUUUUAAUUAUUUGUUUUAUUUAAUGCUUUCACCUUUUUUAUUCUUUUAUUUAAUAAGAAGUUGAAGUGUUGAAGGAGUUGAAGAAACUCUUAUAAGUUCUAAUCGUAGCAAAUUAAUCGAAGGUAUUCUAAAUUUAUUUUGGUCAAGUUUAACCACGUUAAAAUAGAAAGUUGUUUUGGACUUUGCAGUUGAUGAAGACUUAUUACGGUGAAGUAAAAAUGAAGAAUUUCGUGAGAGCCAAAGUC